This 427-nucleotide ribosomal RNA is filed under the name uncultured bacterium. RNAcentral describes it as "partial 16S ribosomal RNA". It matches the Rfam family "Bacterial small subunit ribosomal RNA", at positions 355 to 774 of the family's 1533-position model. The record is from RNAcentral.
UGGGGAAUAUUGGACAAUGGGCGAAAGCCUGAUCCAGCCAUGCCGCGUGUGUGAAGAAGGUCUUCGGAUUGUAAAGCACUUUAAGUUGGGAGGAAGGGUUGUAGAUUAAUACUCUGCAAUUUUGACGUUACCGACAGAAUAAGCACCGGCUAACUCUGUGCCAGCAGCCGCGGUAAUACAGAGGGUGCAAACGUUAAUCGGAAUUACUGGGCGUAAAGCGCGCGUAGGUGGUUAGUUAAGUUGGAUGUGAAAUCCCCGGGCUCAACCUGGGAACUGCAUUCAAAACUGACUGACUAGAGUAUGGUAGAGGGUGGUGGAAUUUCCUGUGUAGCGGUGAAAUGCGUAGAUAUAGGAAGGAACACCAGUGGCGAAGGCGACCACCUGGACUGAUACUGACACUGAGGUGCGAAAGCGUGGGGAGCAAACA